AACAGGAUUAGAUACCCUGGUAGUCCACGCCCUAAACGAUGUCAACUGGUUGUUGGGAGGGUUUCUUCUCAGUAACGUAGCUAACGCGUGAAGUUGACCGCCUGGGGAGUACGGCCGCAAGGCUGAAACUCAAAGGAAUUGACGGGGACCCGCACAAGCGGUGGAUGAUGUGGUUUAAUUCGAUGCAACGCGAAAAACCUUACCUACCCUUGACAUGCCAGGAAUCUUGCAGAGAUGUGAGAGUGCUCGAAAGAGAACCUGGACACAGGUGCUGCAUGGCCGUCGUCAGCUCGUGUCGUGAGAUGUUGGGUUAAGUCCCGCAACGAGCGCAACCCUUGUCAUUAGUUGCUACGAAAGGGCACUCUAAUGAGACUGCCGGUGACAAACCGGAGGAAGGUGGGGAUGACGUCAGGUCAUCAUGGCCCUUAUGGGUAGGGCUACACACGUCAUACAAUGGCCGGGACAGAGGGCUGCCAACCCGCGAGGGGGAGCUAAUCCCAGAAACCCGGUCGUAGUCCGGAUCGCAGUCUGCAACUCGACUGCGUGAAGUCGGAAUCGCUAGUAAUCGCGGAUCAGCUUGCCGCGGUGAAUACGUUCCCGGGUCUUGUACACACCGCCCGUCACACCAUGGGAGCGGGUUCUGCCAGAAGUAGUUAGCCUAACCGCAAGGAGGGCGAUUACCACGGCAGGGUUUCGUGACUGGGGUGAAGUCGUAACAAGGUAACC
This 726-nucleotide ribosomal RNA is filed under the name uncultured bacterium. Its description in RNAcentral is "bacterial SSU rRNA". It matches the Rfam family "Bacterial small subunit ribosomal RNA", at positions 771 to 1501 of the family's 1533-position model. The record is from RNAcentral.